Molecule: non-coding RNA, 1798 nt
Organism: Meleagris gallopavo (turkey)
Lineage: Eukaryota; Metazoa; Chordata; Aves; Galliformes; Phasianidae
Source: RefSeq, a predicted model, not a curated record
UCUUUUGGGGGUUAUCAUGGUGGGUUCUUCUUUCUUUUGGGGGUUAUCAUGGUGGGUUCUUCUUUCUUUUGGGGGUUAUCAUGGUACUCUUGUCUGGUUUUUACUUCUUCUUGGUUUGGGGAGUUGGCACAGGAUUGCUGCUCCUUUUCUUGAGGCAAAGCACAACCCUGAGAUUUGGGGGUGCUGCAGUUCCUCUUACUUGCCUUGAUGGGGAGGCAAUCAGGAUGAGGCUGUGUUCUCUAGCCCAGCCCCGGUGCUGCUGUAGGGUGAGAACUUCAGGGGCACCUUUCACAGCAAGGAUCAACCAAAGCCUGUGAGCAGUUCAGGAGCCAGUGAAACUAUGGAGGCUCAAAGAGCAGCUCUCGGCUGGCCCCAGUGAGGCCCAUUUGUGCUAAUGAAGAAAUGAUCUCCAGGUGCUGUGAGACUGGGAUUGUUUGGGCACAGCUGUACUCAGUUGGAGUGUGGGGCAGGACCUGGUGGAAAGCUUUUUAGGCUCUGCCAGUUGUUCCUGGAGCUCCCUGUCUCUAGCAAGAAGCUGGUAGUGCAAGUGGCUGCUUAUGUAUUCACAUCCUGCCUGCUUUGGAGGUAAUGCAGGGCCACUGGUGGACUCCCUCUGCUUUUAUUGAAGUCUAGAUGGUGCUGAGGGGGGUGAGGGCUGCAACAGGACCUCUGGAAGCAAGGAUCAGCAGUGGAGUGGAUACCAGACUGUGGCCAAUCCUUGCUGUUUGGGACCAGCAGGAGGAUGCCAGUGGACCUGGAUAGCCCUUGGGUUGGAGUUAAGCUGGGUGUUGGAAGAUAGACUCUGUGGUGUGCAGGUGAGUUGUGCAGUGUUAUGUUUCCUUUCCAGCCCUGAUAGUGUGAUCCACCUGGAGGUGUGGGGUUGAUGGAUUGAUAAGUAUGGUGAGCACAGUGUGUGUAGUGCAACAGCCUGUUGUGGUGGGAGUUUAGGGUCCUGGUUCUGAUUCCCUCCAUCUUGUCUGGUGGUUUACAGGGAGGGACCCUGCAUUUCUGAGUUGUCUUUGUGUUUUGCAGGUUGUGGUGUGGUUGACAUUGAAGGCCACCAGUCCUGCUCUUGUCAAGUUCAUUUAGGAACUGCAAUGUGUGGGAGUGAAUGGGGAGUGCAUGGCAGGUGCCCUGAUGGAAGGAUAGAUAUGAGGUGUUGGUGGUCCUUUGAAUGUGAGUAUUGUGAUUUUUUUUUUUUCCCAGGUCUCUAUUGAGCCCUGUAAACUCUUUUUUUUGUUGUUGUUGUUGUCUUAAAGUUGUUGGCAGAAACAGCUGUUCCUGUGAUUUGUGCUGGCUGUGUCCUUGUUCACAGUGUGACUGGUGAGGCAAUUUUUGUCUGUAUUUGGGUUUGCUUGGUGAUUCUCAAAUGCACAGGGAGGCUGAUACUGGCAAGUAAGGUAUCCUACAGGGGGGCAGGCUGCCUUUGUUCCUGAGAGGGAGGUUUGGCUGUGCAGUUAUUUCAGGUCUGUUGUAAUGAAUUUGGUUUGGUGACUGUCUUAGGUGUGGCAUUUUGUUGACUUGUUUGUCCUUUUGUGUUUUCUUUUUGAGUUAAAGUGUGUUCCUGUACCAUUUGUUUUGUGGAGCAUCUGUUUGGACCAGGCUGUCAAGUAAGUCUUAUGGUUUUGGUGUAUUUUCUCAGUGUUCUUGUUUCCUUAAGGGAAGGAAUUUUGGGGUUGAUUAUAGUUAAAGCUGUGGAUUGUUUUAGUAAGGUGUUGUGAGUAUUUGCACAUGAAUAUUGUGGUUUUUUUUCAGUGUAGUCAUCCUGGUUUUGGUGCUUUUUGCUCUAGUUGGCUGU